RNAcentral lists this ribosomal RNA (890 nucleotides) under Pectenogammarus scutarensis. RNAcentral describes it as "Laurogammarus scutarensis partial 28S ribosomal RNA". The stretch from base 1 to 738 matches the Rfam family "Eukaryotic large subunit ribosomal RNA", at positions 102 to 664 of the family's 3401-position model. Lineage: Eukaryota; Metazoa; Arthropoda; Malacostraca; Amphipoda; Gammaridae. The record is from RNAcentral.
GAUGAGCCCAGCGCAGAACUCCCGGGCCACCCGGCUGCGGCGGAAUGUUGCGUAAAGGGAAAGGUCGUAGUCAAACCCCACAGCCACGCGAACUCUAAGUAAGCCACGAAUAGGCUAUCCCAACUAACGGCGGGAAAAUCUCCACGGAGGGUGUAAGACCCGUGUGGGCGCGUGUCAAAGCUGUGCGGGCUCGGCCUCUUUUCCCUGAGAGUCGCGUUGCUUGAGCAUGCAGCGCUAAGCAGGUCGUAAACUCGAUCUAAGGCUAAAUAUAUCCACAGAACCGAUAGCGAACAAGUACCGUGAGGGAAAGUUGAAAAGCACUCUGGAGAGAGAGUCAAAAGACCGUGAAACCGCUUAGAGUAUAAGCCCAUGGCAGCUUGGAAGGCAUGUCGGUGGCGGGGCAUCUGGAAACUGCCCCUUCGCGGGGGGAGCGGAAGGGUGUUACCCUAUCUCUGUAAUGGCUCAUUAUGGUAGGGGGGUCAAGUCCACAUCCCGCCAACGGGUGGGGAGUACUGUGGUGUGUUGUUGUUCUGCUUCCGGCUUCGGUUGGUUGUGGGGCUCAGCGUGCCUGGUGCUUCUUGUCAACUCGGAUGUUCAGAGUCAGAGAUAGGACACGACAACCAGCCCACCACGGCACGUUGUGAGGUCACCCACAGGCUCGACUUUCGAUCGUGGUCCUUGACAAAGAGCAGCUCAGUGCGUGUCGCAAAAGUUCCUGACCUCUGUCUUGCAACAUAGAAGAGGAAUGCGGAAAGACACGCGCUCAUACGUCAGGACCGGGCGAUGACUGAGUUCUGGUACGAUCCUCUGCGACGAGUCGCUUUCUGGCCGAAAAUCUGAUUUGCCCAGUGCUCCUGCAUGUGCCGCAGGUAUGCUCGUGACGGUCUGGA